GGUUAAGCGACUAAGCGUACACGGUGGAUGCCCUGGCAGUCAGAGGCGAUGAAGGACGUACUAAUCUGCGAUAAGCGUCGGUAAGGUGAUAUGAACCGUUAUAACCGGCGAUUUCCGAAUGGGGAAACCCAGUGUGAUUCGUCACACUAUCAUUAACUGAAUCCAUAGGUUAAUGAGGCGAACCGGGGGAACUGAAACAUCUAAGUACCCCGAGGAAAAGAAAUCAACCGAGAUUCCCCCAGUAGCGGCGAGCGAACGGGGAGCAGCCCAGAGCCUGAAUCAGUGUGUGUGUUAGUGGAAGCGUCUGGAAAGGCGCGCGAUACAGGGUGACAGCCCCGUACACAAAAAUGCACAUACUGUGAGCUCGAUGAGUAGGGCGGGACACGUGGUAUCCUGUCUGAAUAUGGGGGGACCAUCCUCCAAGGCUAAAUACUCCUGACUGACCGAUAGUGAACCAGUACCGUGAGGGAAAGGCGAAAAGAACCCCGGCGAGGGGAGUGAAAAAGAACCUGAAACCGUGUACGUACAAGCAGUGGGAGCACGCUUAGGCGUGUGACUGCGUACCUUUUGUAUAAUGGGUCAGCGACUUAUAUUCUGUAGCAAGGUUAACCGAAUAGGGGAGCCGAAGGGAAACCGAGUCUUAACUGGGCGUUAAGUUGCAGGGUAUAGACCCGAAACCCGGUGAUCUAGCCAUGGGCAGGUUGAAGGUUGGGUAACACUAACUGGAGGACCGAACCGACUAAUGUUGAAAAAUUAGCGGAUGACUUGUGGCUGGGGGUGAAAGGCCAAUCAAACCGGGAGAUAGCUGGUUCUCCCCGAAAGCU
RNAcentral lists this ribosomal RNA (824 nucleotides) under Escherichia coli. Its description in RNAcentral is "partial 23S ribosomal RNA". It matches the Rfam family "Bacterial large subunit ribosomal RNA", at positions 1 to 867 of the family's 2925-position model. Lineage: Bacteria; Pseudomonadati; Pseudomonadota; Gammaproteobacteria; Enterobacterales; Enterobacteriaceae. The record is from RNAcentral.